Molecule: ribosomal RNA, 328 nt
Filed under: Kataphraktosaurus ungerhamiltoni
Lineage: Eukaryota; Metazoa; Chordata; Lepidosauria; Squamata; Gymnophthalmidae
Description: partial small subunit ribosomal RNA
Rfam family: Bacterial small subunit ribosomal RNA
Source: RNAcentral
AUCCGCCAGAAAAUUACGGGCGAAAGCCUAAAACUCAAAAGACUUGACGGUGUCCUACCCUACCUAGAGGAGCCUGUUCCAUAAUCGAUAUCCCACGAUAAACCAAACCACCUUUUGAUUAAUCCAGCCUAUAUACCGCCGUCACAAGCCCACCUUACAAAGACCUAUAGUGGGCCAAAUAGUAUACUACUAACAAGUCAGGUCAAGGUGUAGCUUAUAAAGUGGAGAAAAUGGGCUACAUUUUUUAUUAUAAACAAAACGAAUACUUUUAUGAAAUAAAACUUGAAGGUGGAUUUAGCAGUAAACUAAACAAGAAUAUUUAGAUUAA